GGGCUGGUUUUAGCUCAGCGGUUCCUUCGACAGAGCUUCUGCUAACUGCCCUUCAGGGGUGGUUAGAGACCCGCGGGCACUCUCCAGCCCUUUU
RNAcentral lists this vault RNA (94 nucleotides) under Carlito syrichta (Philippine tarsier). RNAcentral describes it as "Vault RNA (ENSTSYG00000036041.1)". It matches the Rfam family "Vault RNA". Rfam says of the family: This family of RNAs are found as part of the enigmatic vault ribonucleoprotein complex. The complex consists of a major vault protein (MVP), two minor vault proteins (VPARP and TEP1), and several small untranslated RNA molecules. It has been suggested that the vault complex is involved in drug resistance. The record is from Rfam by way of RNAcentral. Lineage: Eukaryota; Metazoa; Chordata; Mammalia; Primates; Tarsiidae.